This 313-nucleotide unclassified non-coding RNA is filed under the name Hevea brasiliensis (rubber tree). The record is from RNAcentral. Lineage: Eukaryota; Viridiplantae; Streptophyta; Magnoliopsida; Malpighiales; Euphorbiaceae.
CUUGCUAAAAUUCAACCUGAGCAAUGGAGGUAUAUGGCAAAUCCAUGGUAUCAGGUCCUGCCAACGUUAUUUAUCUGUCCACUAUUCUGGGCCGGGAUGGGCCAAUUCCUGUCCACAAAUGCGAUUGGAAAUGUGAAAAUGAACACGUGUGUGGAAACAUGUACCUCUGCAAACUAACUGGUCUCACUCACAUCUGUGACAAGAACUGUAACCAGAGAAUUUUGUAUGAUAACCAUAGUUCCCUUUGCCGAGCAAGCGGUCAAAUUUCCCCCCUUUCGCCAGCUGGGGAACCGUCAGCAUCAAUCUUCCUGCG